GGAGGCGCUUUUCGGCCGGUGCCGGGCCCGGACUUCAAAUCCGGUGGGGGGAGUUAACGACUUCCUCGGUGUGUUCGACUCGCACACGCCUCC
Molecule: transfer RNA, 93 nt
Filed under: Synergistes jonesii
Lineage: Bacteria; Thermotogati; Synergistota; Synergistia; Synergistales; Synergistaceae
Description: Selenocysteine transfer RNA
Rfam family: Selenocysteine transfer RNA
Source: Rfam by way of RNAcentral